RNAcentral lists this long non-coding RNA (276 nucleotides) under Bos taurus (domestic cattle). Its description in RNAcentral is "long non-coding RNA NONBTAT021771". The record is from RNAcentral. Lineage: Eukaryota; Metazoa; Chordata; Mammalia; Artiodactyla; Bovidae.
UGAUAUUACAAUUUUUAUAAUUAGCAGAGUGCCUCUUCCAGUAACAUCAAGAUAUAUAAGCAAAGUGAUUUCUUCAAAGCAAAAUGGGGAGAAAAUUUAUAAGCAGUUUUAUUAUUUUAUUCCUAAAGACCUCAAAAAGCCUAAUUAUUAGGGUUAAUUUGUAACAUCAGAAAAUGUUGUCCCAAUCUUCCAGAAUAUUUAUUUUACAAAUGGUCCAAUUUUUCUUCUCUGCAUUUAAGCACUGUGGACGGCAGUGGCAAAAGAACUCUGUGUGUU